RNAcentral lists this long non-coding RNA (383 nucleotides) under Homo sapiens (human). Its description in RNAcentral is "HSALNT0191025". Lineage: Eukaryota; Metazoa; Chordata; Mammalia; Primates; Hominidae. The record is from RNAcentral.
GCGAAAACCCCGGAUGGUGAGGAGCAGCAAAUGUGCAAUACCAACAUGUCUGUACCUACUGAUGGUGCUGUAACCACCUCACAGAUUCCAGCUUCGGAACAAGAGACCCUGUUAGACCAAAGCCAUUGCUUUUGAAGUUAUUAAAGUCUGUUGGUGCACAAAAAGACACUUAUACUAUGAAAGAGUUCUUUUUUAUCUUGGCCAGUAUAUUAUGACUAAACGAUUAUAUGAUGAGAAGCAACAACAUAUUGUAUAUUGUUCAAAUGAUCUUCUAGGAGAUUUGUUUGGCGUGCCAAGCUUCUCUGUGAAAGAGCACAGAAAAUAUAUACCAUGAUCUACAGGAACUUGGUAGUAGUCAAUCAGCAGGGUAAGUUAAUUUUGAG